RNAcentral lists this non-coding RNA (45 nucleotides) under Schistosoma haematobium. The record is from RNAcentral. Lineage: Eukaryota; Metazoa; Platyhelminthes; Trematoda; Strigeidida; Schistosomatidae.
AUCUAGUUGACGAAUUCCAAAUAGAAUGAAACGUACGUCCUCGAU